This 65-nucleotide transfer RNA is filed under the name Tylorrhynchus heterochetus (Japanese palolo). Its description in RNAcentral is "tRNA-Val". Lineage: Eukaryota; Metazoa; Annelida; Polychaeta; Phyllodocida; Nereididae. The record is from RNAcentral.
CGAAAUAGAGCAUGUAUUAUAUGCAAUUCACUUACACUGAAAUGAAGGAUCUAAUCCUAUUUUGA